Vigna angularis (adzuki bean) is the source of this 1519-nucleotide long non-coding RNA. RefSeq lists it as uncharacterized. The record is from RefSeq and is a predicted model, not a curated record. The transcript has 5 exons. Lineage: Eukaryota; Viridiplantae; Streptophyta; Magnoliopsida; Fabales; Fabaceae.
CAUCAUCUGUGGGGCCUCCUCCUACCCCUACAAUACAGCCUCCUACCCUUGCAGUAGACCUUACACCUACCUUUGCAAUACACCGUUAUCCUACCCAUGCAGUACACCCUUCUCCUACUCCUGUAGCACACCCUUCUACUACCGUUGCAGCAGACCCUCUUCCUCCUCCUGUGCUUAUAACCCCCACUCCUCUCCCUGUGGUUAUUAUCCCCACUCCUCUCGCUGACCCUACUUCUAUACCUUCCUCAUCUUCUAUACCACCUUUUGAGACUGUCACACCAUCUACUGAUCCAGAUUCAAGUGGUGAUGAUGAAGGCUUGACCCACCCCUCCAUGAUCAACCAUGGAUUGAGCCGUAUGGUAAAGGGUUUAUUCCAUCUAGGGUUGCUUCGCAAGCCAUCACACGUUCAAUUAAGCAACAGUUUUUAAGUCCAUGGCCUACUUGGGGAGAAAUACCUGAUGGCGACAAAAAGCCAUUCUGGGAGCGCUUUCAGAUGAAGGUGUAGUGGAAACCUGAACAUGAAACACAAAUACACAGAAAUUUCCACAUGAAAGCAUCACAUCGGCUGUCAAAGAUGUUUAGGGAUGCCCGCAAUGCAGGAGAGCACCCUUACUGGCUGGGCGAACAAAUUUGGAACUCUUUACUGGCUCAUUGGAAUACAGUAGAGUUUCACAAUAAGUGUGCCAAGACGUAGAGAAACAGAGCAUCUGAAAAGGGUGGCACCCUGCAUACUGGUGGGUCGAUAACCAUUCAUGAGCAUGCCAUUCGUAUGGCACAAGCUCUGGGACGGGCGGUCCAUGUUGAUGAGGUCUUUGCACAGACUCAUGUAAGGAAGGGCACUAAUCAAUUCGUUGAUGAAAGAUCUCGGACGACUCAUAAUUUUCUACGAGACUUUCACAGGUUAGAUCUGAACAUGAGUCAGCUCCUACACCGGAUGAUGGCAGUAAUGCAGAAGACGACAUACGUAGGACACAGUGCUGGGUCGAGAUCGUUGGUGGGAAGAAAAAGGGCCGACUGUACGGUGCAUGACAACUUGAUGCAAACUAUACAACAUCGAAAGGAGGUACUCUGAAGCACCAACCUUCUUCUUCCACCACUGCUCCUGACGAGGUCGUUCUCCGCCUCAUGCAGGCACUGGAGCAACGUGACCAGGAAAUCACUGAUCUGAGAGCAGAGUUUACAAACUUUAAGGCCCUGGUCAUGAGAGUGUUGCCUGAAACUUCACAGGAUGAAUUGAAUAUCCCUCCGACCCAACCACGACCCUCCUCGUCACUCGCUGCCCCUCAGCAGCCCACAUCAGUCCAACCCUCAUCAGUCCAACCCACACCAGUCCAGCCAUUAAUAGAGGAGCACGAUGAUGAAGAUCAUUCUGAUGAUAACUAUGUACAUUAUUAGUUUCAUUUUGUUAUUACUUGUUAUAGAAAAAUUUGGAUAUUAGAACAUUUGGAGUUUAGAUGAUUUCGAUGUUAGAUCAAUUGGAUGACUUUGGAUGUUACAAUAUCAUUAUGUUACAUUGUUU